ACAUUCCUGAGGAGUCCCAUAAUAGGACGAAACGGCCGUCCAGUGC
RNAcentral lists this non-coding RNA (46 nucleotides) under Schistosoma mansoni. The record is from RNAcentral. Lineage: Eukaryota; Metazoa; Platyhelminthes; Trematoda; Strigeidida; Schistosomatidae.